AUUGAACGCUGGCGGCAUGCUUUACACAUGCAAGUCGAACGGUAACAGGCCUUCGGGUGCUGACGAGUGGCGAACGGGUGAGUAAUGCAUCGGAACGUACCCAGAGGUGGGGGAUAACGCAGCGAAAGCUGUGCUAAUACCGCAUGUGAUCUGAGGAUGAAAGCGGGGGACCGAGCAGCAAUGUUUGGCCUCGCGCCUUUGGAGCGGCCGAUGUCGGAUUAGCUAGUUGGUGGGGUAAAGGCCUACCAAGGCGACGAUCCGUAGCUGGUCUGAGAGGACGACCAGCCAAACUGGGAAUGAGACACGGCCCAGACUCCUACGGGAGGCAGCAGUGGGGAAUUUUGGACAAUGGGCGCAAGCCUGAUCCAGCAAUGCCGCGUGCGGGAAGAAGGCCUUCGGGUUGUAAACCGCUUUUGGCAGGAACGAAACGGUGUCCGCUAAUACCGGGCGCUAAUGACGGUACCUGCAGAAUAAGCACCGGCUAACUACGUG
Molecule: ribosomal RNA, 492 nt
Filed under: uncultured bacterium
Lineage: Bacteria
Description: partial 16S ribosomal RNA
Rfam family: Bacterial small subunit ribosomal RNA
Source: RNAcentral